RNAcentral lists this ribosomal RNA (877 nucleotides) under Salmonella enterica. RNAcentral's name for it is "partial 23S ribosomal RNA". It matches the Rfam family "Bacterial large subunit ribosomal RNA", at positions 2071 to 2925 of the family's 2925-position model. The record is from RNAcentral. Lineage: Bacteria; Pseudomonadati; Pseudomonadota; Gammaproteobacteria; Enterobacterales; Enterobacteriaceae.
CGCGGCAAGACGGAAAGACCCCGUGAACCUUUACUAUAGCUUGACACUGAACAUUGAGCCUUGAUGUGUAGGAUAGGUGGGAGGCUUUGAAGUGUGGACGCCAGUCUGCAUGGAGCCGACCUUGAAAUACCACCCUUUAAUGUUUGAUGUUCUAACGUGGACCCGUUACCCGGGUUGCGGACAGUGUCUGGUGGGUAGUUUGACUGGGGCGGUCUCCUCCUAAAGAGUAACGGAGGAGCACGAAGGUUGGCUAAUCCUGGUCGGACAUCAGGAGGUUAGUGCAAUGGCAUAAGCCAGCUUGACUGCGAGCGUGACGGCGCGAGCAGGUGCGAAAGCAGGUCAUAGUGAUCCGGUGGUUCUGAAUGGAAGGGCCAUCGCUCAACGGAUAAAAGGUACUCCGGGGAUAACAGGCUGAUACCGCCCAAGAGUUCAUAUCGACGGCGGUGUUUGGCACCUCGAUGUCGGCUCAUCACAUCCUGGGGCUGAAGUAGGUCCCAAGGGUAUGGCUGUUCGCCAUUUAAAGUGGUACGCGAGCUGGGUUUAGAACGUCGUGAGACAGUUCGGUCCCUAUCUGCCGUGGGCGCUGGAGAACUGAGGGGGGCUGCUCCUAGUACGAGAGGACCGGAGUGGACGCAUCACUGGUGUUCGGGUUGUCAUGCCAAUGGCACUGCCCGGUAGCUAAAUGCGGAAGAGAUAAGUGCUGAAAGCAUCUAAGCACGAAACUUGCCCCGAGAUGAGUUCUCCCUGAGACUUAGAGUCUCCUGAAGGAACGUUGAAGACGACGACGUUGAUAGGCCGGGUGUGUAAGCGCAGCGAUGCGUUGAGCUAACCGGUACUAAUGAACCGUGAGGCUUAACCUUACAACGCCGAAGCUGUU